UACGUAGGGUGCAAGCGUUAAUCGGUAUUACUGGGCGUAAAGCGUGCGCAGGCGGUUUUGUAAGUCUGUCGUGAAAGCCCCGGGCUCAACCUGGGAAUUGCGAUGGAGACUGCAAGGCUUGAAUCUGGCAGAGGGGGGUAGAAUUCCACGUGUAGCAGUGAAAUGCGUAGAGAUGUGGAGGAACACCGAUGGCGAAGGCAGCCCCCUGGGUCAAGAUUGACGCUCAUGCACGAAAGCGUGGGGAGCAAACAGG
Molecule: ribosomal RNA, 253 nt
Filed under: uncultured bacterium
Lineage: Bacteria
Description: partial 16S ribosomal RNA
Rfam family: Bacterial small subunit ribosomal RNA
Source: RNAcentral